Molecule: ribosomal RNA, 421 nt
Filed under: uncultured eukaryote
Lineage: Eukaryota
Description: bacterial SSU rRNA
Rfam family: Eukaryotic small subunit ribosomal RNA
Source: RNAcentral
CAAUAGCGUAUAUUAAAGUUGUUGCGGUUAAAAAGCUCGUAGUUGGAUUUCUGCUUAGUGCGACCGGUCCACCUUAGGGUUGGUAUCAGGUACGUACCGGGCAUAUUCCUAGGAAAUACGGCUGCGCCUCGUUGUGUGGCCUGUUCCCUGGGUCUUUUACUUUGAGGAAAUUAGAGUGUUUCAAGCAGGCAUCCGCCUUGAAUACAUUAGCAUGGAAUAAUACGAUAGGACUUUGGUUCUGUCUUGUUGGUUUCGGGAACUAAGGUAAUGAUUAAUAGGGAUAGUCGGGGGCAUUCGUACUUAACUGUCAGAGGUGAAAUUCUUGGAUCGGCGGAAGACGCGCAACUGCGAAAGCAUUUGCCAAGAAUGUUUUCUUUAAUCAAGAACGAUAGUCGGAGGUUCGAAGACGAUCAGAUACCGU